UCAAUUUAAAAAAAAUGUGACCAUAUCAAGUCCUGACGACAGGCAUAUUAUUAUAGUACACGAUUUCCUCUUUCCAAUGAUAUAUUAUGUAGGUGUGUGUUCGGUGGGGAGAUUAAAUUCCAAAAAAUCUGCCUUCUGUCACCGCACUAAAGGACGUAUAACUAAUAUACGUCCUUGCAUGUCGACUGUCGUUCUAGAAGAACCAACUUUUUUUCGAUUGAAGUCUCACUUACUUUUCUGUGUUCUCACAAUAUCUUGGUUAUAUCUUAGAGUAUAUUUUAACAAAAAUCUUCUGUUUUUCCAUUUCUUUCACAAUUACAGGAAACAGACUUUUGACAGGGGGCGCGAAAUCUGAUGCGCAUAUAUAGUGCAACUCGUUUCAGGACUUAUUUCUCCGGAAAAUCUCAUGAUAACUAUAUCAGACAAGGUUGCAGUCGCAGUGGCGGAUCCAGGUUGACGUAGAGGGCGUACACUGAGGGGGGAUAUAGGACCUUUAUCGGGACUCCGGGAUCGGGUGUUUUUAAGCUCGGGAUUUGGGAUUGGAUUGACCCUUUCGGGAUCCGGGAAUUCUAUUUUUUUUUUUAAUUUCGGGAUGUCGGGAUUUUAUAUUUUUAAGUUCGAGUUGUCAGGAUUUAAUAUUUUAAGUUCGGGACCUCAGGAUGACGUGUGAUCAUGACCCCUCUUACUCCCCCUCUACACUCCCCCUUUGAACGAAAAAAAAGAGUACCCAUGUUACUCACGAUUUAUAUGUUUUUUUACAAUAAAGUUG
RNAcentral lists this long non-coding RNA (769 nucleotides) under Mytilus galloprovincialis (Mediterranean mussel). Lineage: Eukaryota; Metazoa; Mollusca; Bivalvia; Mytilida; Mytilidae. The record is from RNAcentral.